GUCUCCAGAAACCACCAGAUGCAGAAGCUCUCCGCCUCCGUCUCUGAUAGUGCUAGCUUCCCUUCGUGCCUUCAUCCUCCGCCUCCCUUUCCGUGCCUCGUCCCUCCCUGUUGCUGUUGCCUUGGCGCUCUCCUCCCAUCCACAGGAUGCUGAUUGCUGGCUUGCAACUGCACGGCAAGUGGCGGCACACAUGGGGCGAGCAUGGCGAGCAGGGCGAUGGUGCCGCGUACGAGGAAGGGACGACGAGGCCGAGCAGACAGUGGCAGCGUACAGGAUCCGCUACAGCGAGCUGACGGCGGCGGCGACGAGCUAGCAGACGCCGCCCUCCAAUCGGCUCUGCUUCUGCACCUCCGCCGCACACCCGUCCUCUUGCCUCCCCUGCUCCUCGCCUUCUCCCUCGUCUCCAAUGAGUUAGUCACAAGAUCCAAACCUUCGGUGAGGUCUCUCAUCCCCACUUUCCUUCUCCGGUGGGCGGCGUCAACUGGCGCGGCAGCCUGCCGGCGGCAGCCUCCAUCGAGCAUACGGGCGGAGGACGGCACGGGCACGGCGAAGUCCACGUGCUUUUCGGGUCGGCCCGGCACGAAAAUCGGUCCGUGGGCUCAUGCCUGGGCCGAGAACGCGGCACGACGGGUAGCUUGGCACGGCCCGUUAGUAUGGUCCUGCCGGGCCUGGCCCGAUCAGUUUGUGCUCGGGCCAGCUCGGGCUUGGGCCGGGCCGCCCGAAUAGCCAUUUAUAGAUGCCACUGCUUCUUUGCUCGCCACCUACUAACCGGCAGUGCCGUGCCAAGCUACCCGUCGCGUUUUUUUAUUUUUAUAUUUUUGGAAAAUAUUUUUUAUAAAAAUAUAUUUUUAAUAUCACAAUUUAUAGUUUUGUACCCCUACCGCCCGGCAAGGGACCUGCCGCCCGGCAGGGGGGCGGCAGGGAUUUAUAUAUAAAUUAAAAAAAAAUAUUUGCGCGGAAGUCCUUGACGGGAGCUUGCCGCCCCCCUGCCGUCACUCCACUGGGCGGUGGGGGCCUGCCGCCCGGCAGGGGGGCGGCAGGCUCUCCCAUACUGUAUAAAAGGUUUCUCUCCCCCCUCCCCCCUCAUUUGCUUCCCACGACAUCCAGAGAGCGGGAGGGAGAGAGGAGGGGUUAGAGAGGGAGUUGUAACGGCGAAGCUCAGCCGCAUUUUGGAUCCUAACCGCAGGUCGUCUUGUUGAGAGUGGUUCAGUACAGCUGGACAGGUCCCUAUUGACGGCUCUGGUUGAUAGAUGGAGGCCUGAGACAAACACCUUCCACCUCCCUUGUGGGGAGAUGACACCGACCCUACAGGACGUUGCGAUGCUGCUGGGUCUUUCUAUCAGUGGGGAUGCCGUAGGGCCUCGUGUCGUCCUGCCUAUGUGGUUGGAUGAUCUAGAAGAGCGUUUUGCAAAUAUUGACAUCGCGAUUGAUGUAGAAGAGCACCCAAAAGCAACAGGCCCUGCCAAGGCAUGGAUCCUCCAGUUCCAACCCGAUAAUUUGGCACAUGAUGCUGAUGAUGAUAGCGUCACUGAUCCCUUGAGG
Molecule: long non-coding RNA, 1542 nt
Organism: Panicum virgatum (switchgrass)
Lineage: Eukaryota; Viridiplantae; Streptophyta; Magnoliopsida; Poales; Poaceae
Exons: 3
Source: RefSeq, a predicted model, not a curated record